AGAAACAUGCCUUACGUUAUCUCCCGAUGAACAGGAUGGAACUGUUUCAAGAACUGCAGGACAAAAAAACCUACCCACCUACCAACGCCGAGCACCUGUUUGAAACCACCUGUUCUCGGAUACUGCAAUCCACUGCUCGAAGCUUGGUAUUAUGACCAUAACAAGAGGAGCUGCACGAAAGUGAACCCAUCACUUUGUGGCAGUGGCAAAAACCUUUU
Molecule: long non-coding RNA, 218 nt
Organism: Rhipicephalus microplus (southern cattle tick)
Lineage: Eukaryota; Metazoa; Arthropoda; Arachnida; Ixodida; Ixodidae
Source: RefSeq, a predicted model, not a curated record